This 26-nucleotide small RNA is filed under the name Bombyx mori (domestic silkworm). RNAcentral's name for it is "ovarian small RNA-32318". The record is from RNAcentral. Lineage: Eukaryota; Metazoa; Arthropoda; Insecta; Lepidoptera; Bombycidae.
UGAUAAAGCGUGGACUUGCUUGGUGA